CCUAUGAACAGAUAAUUGUUGAUGCGGAUGUUUAGGAGUUGUACGUUAAAUGCCCGUUGCAUCUUGGGAAUCGUAGUAACAUGGAGGUGCCCGUUUGUCACGCAUGACUUUAUACAUGUCGAAGCUUUAAAACGUGAAUGUCGAUUGUCUUUGAUUUUAUUAUCAUAUUAGAUUGACGAAUACAAGGUCAUAAAGACGUGCAACGCUUCGGGGAAACACGGUAAGCUAUGUCUCUGUUGAGAGGGUUGCUGAAGGCUUGCCGCUCCACACAACCAGACAGAUAAGCACUGGUGUGUGCUGUCCAGUCCAUAUGAAUGCCAUCCCUGAGCUGAAGAAGGUGGACUGAGAAGAGGAGCAUGUUUGGGGUUUAGGACAACAUAGGAAUUUUAGGUGACUUCAAAGCCCACCCUAAGGACCUGAUCGUCUGGCCGGUCUGUGUGAAGGGUUUCCGUGGCAACGAGCUGCAGCGUCUGACAAGGUGACUUCAAAGCCCACCCUAAGGACCUGAUCGUCUGGCCGGUCUGUGUGAAGGGUUUCCGUGGCAACGAGCUGCAGCGUCUGACAAGGAAGAAGAGGAUGGUGGGGAACAGGAUGAUGACACAGGACAAACACGACAUGGAGAAGAGGAUCCGCUUCCUCUAUCGACACUUCAACCGCUUUGGAAAACAUGGCUGAUCUGAUCUGGGACUGAGCGGUCUGGCUAACAAUGCUAAACGACUCUUGUACUAACAACCUGCCCACUGGACCACAUUCAGACUCUAAAGAGAGAAAUGUGAGCUACUCUGUUAUGCCACUGAGAUUUAUAUCAGCCCCUUAUACCAUUUGGUAGCCACAUUUUCUUAUAUCCAUAUUGGGGUAAGAGGAAGCUGAUUGCAAUUUGUUUUUUACUUUUGACAGCUGGAAAAUGUUGGAUUAAUUUAGUAUUGUUGUUCGCACUAAAUCAACACUCAACUGUAAAAUACAUCUUUUGAACCAUUAUGAACUCCUAGAAGUGGAAAUAUACACAAAUGUUUGAUGCUCUAUGGUCUGUAAAUGUUAUCACAUUGGGGACUAAUGUAAGUAAUGUUGUGGGUAUGAUAAUAAACAAAGCUUGUCAUUA
Molecule: long non-coding RNA, 1099 nt
Organism: Oncorhynchus masou masou (cherry salmon)
Lineage: Eukaryota; Metazoa; Chordata; Actinopteri; Salmoniformes; Salmonidae
Exons: 4
Source: RefSeq, a predicted model, not a curated record